AUUGAACGCUGGCGGCAUGCCUAACACAUGCAAGUCGAACGCGAAAGAGGGGCAACUCUUGAGUAGAGUGGCGGACGGGUGAGUAAUACGUAGGAAUCUGCCUUGAAGUGGGGGAUAACCACGCGAAAGCGUGGCUAAUACCGCAUAAUCUCUUCGGAGCAAAGCAGGGGAUCGCAAGACCUUGCGCUUUUAGAUGAGCCUACGCCGGAUUAGCUAGUUGGUAGGGUAAUGGCCUACCAAGGCGACGAUCCGUAGCUGGUCUGAGAGGACGACCAGCCACACUGGGACUGAGAUACGGCCCAGACUCCGACGGGAGGCAGCAGUGGGGAAUAUUGGACAAUGGGCGAAAGCCUGAUCCAGCAAUGCCGCGUGUGUGAUGAAGGCCUGCGGGUUGUAAAGCACUUUCAGUGGGGAAGAAAUACUCGAAGCUAAUACCUUUGAGGGUUGACGUUACCCAAAGAAGAAGCACCGGCUAACUCUGUGCCAGCCGCCGCAGUAA
Molecule: ribosomal RNA, 499 nt
Filed under: uncultured bacterium
Lineage: Bacteria
Description: partial 16S ribosomal RNA
Rfam family: Bacterial small subunit ribosomal RNA
Source: RNAcentral